Long non-coding RNA from Mesocricetus auratus (golden hamster), 2837 nucleotides. RefSeq lists it as uncharacterized. Lineage: Eukaryota; Metazoa; Chordata; Mammalia; Rodentia; Cricetidae. The transcript is spliced from 2 exons. The record is from RefSeq and is a predicted model, not a curated record.
AGGGGCGGGAGUAAGCAGAGGUGCUGGAGCCCCCCGAGUGGGUGUGGUCACGUUGCCCAGCAAUGGGCGGUGAUUGGCCCUGGGCGGUGCAUUCGCAGCUCGUGCGUCACGACGCCGCCAGCUGAUCGGAGACUGGAGCCGGUGUGUGCUGGGCGCUGGGUAGAGACAGAGCGGUCGGCCGUGCGGAGAGGACGCAGUGAUUUUGCUCCCCUCUCCUCAGCAACCCCCACACCCAGCAUCAGGAACCUGAGCCUCCCACGCCCUCACCUGGCUGAGCCGCAGUAGUUCUUCAGUGGCGAGCUUUAUGUCCUGACCCAGCUAAAGCUGCCAGUUGAAGAACUGUUGCCCUCUGCCCCUGGCUUCGAGGAGGAAGAGGAGCAACUUCUUUGCCUAUCAUCGGGAAGGUGACAGAACUGGGGGGUUGGGAAUGGCUGGACAGCAGGGGUGAUGGAUGACUUUAAGGAAGGGAAACUCUGCUCUGGGGAGCCCUUACCCACACCGGCCCAGCAAAAGAUUCAGGUUAAAGGCCCUGACUAAACUGGGGAAUAGGUAACUCCACCUCCUCAAGGUUAGUUGAUCUCUGUGUGGCAAUGGGAAGAGAUGGAAGGAAAGUCUGUCUACCUGUUUAUCAAGACUUCCUAAUAGGGCUGUCUUUCUUACCCCCCCCCAACUUUCCUUUCACGUGAGGUCCAAAAGUAAAAGUACUCAUGGGAAAGGUGACACCAAAUUCUGAUCUAAGUAGUCAUCCGUGCGUUUUUCCUUUCUCUGUAUUUGUUUUUAGAUUGGUCCAGAUUUUGGAUUUAGGGGUACUUACCUCUAUGGGAUCCUUAAACCUGUCUAUUUCUCCACCUUUGAAAUGGGGAAUCCCAUAGAUGUGUAGGCAGGAGGGCAUCAGAAGUCCACUUGGGCUGACUCAGAGCCUGGCCUCUUCUCUUCCUGUGGGUGGAAACAAAACAGCUCUUCAUACAAAUUGUUGUCCCUCCCCCACCCCCUGACUACACACCCAGCUCUGGGGGUUGGAGUGGAGGGAAAGAUUAAGAGCUGGUGGGAGGCUAGUCCUAUGCUGACUUCUCAUUAUGCAUGGGUGACCCAAGGUUUCCCCUCCCCCCCAAGUAAGACUCGAGCUCCUGAUUGGGUCCUAGCAACCACUGCCAUUUAUUUUCUGCCUUUGCUUUCCAGGAUAGUGGGACUCAGCUCAGUGCUGUGCAGGCAACAAAUUGUCUCCUCCAGCCAGCAGGGGAGAUGGGUUGUAUGACUUGAGUCCCUUCUGCUGCCUCUAGCUCCUGAUUCAUUCUUGAGCUUGGGCUUGGGCUCUGAUAGUGGUUCAGCUUUGGCCCAGUCUCCCUAACAGAAGAUGGGUUCAGGGGCUGCUAUAGGAAGCUGUUUGUUCUGCUUUGCAGGGAAAGGGCGGAGGAGUCCUAGCCUAUUCUCCACUUAUGAGAAACUGAAAGUCAGAGGGGAGAAUAGACCACACAACCCCGUCCUACAGCAGCUUGAGAUGAGGGGUGUCAUGUGUGAGGGACUGCAGCAGAGGGGGUUGGGAGUCCGAGUCUACUCACACAUUGCGACAAAGAUUGCUCUGUCCCUCGACAUUGCUUUCUUCCCCUCCUCGCUUCACUGGCCACAGUGUGUCCCUCCAGCACUGGGUUCAUGGCUCUGCCAUCUUCAUCCAACAUGGAGCCUCAGAGGCGAGGAAGGGCAGCCUGGAAACACAGAGGCAGGCAGAAGACCAGUGAAGGACCUGGCCUGGAGCCGCAAGGGCCUAUCCCAGACAUUGGUCAGAGGGGCACAUAGAAGUCUGGAGAACACCAGGAAAGAGAGCAGCCAGCCUCAGUGAAAGACAAGCUUCCAGCCAUCUCCUCUCCAGACCUACCUCCCUUGGAGAUGAAGAGCCAUGAUGAAGCAUGGUCCCAUCUCUUCUCUACCCUGCAGUUUCUAUAUAAGCACCCUCAAGGAGCAUGGCCACCUCUGAAAGGAAAUACAGAGCAAAUUCAAAGAGAGAUUCAAAUGUCUAACACUGUGACUGGGGUUGUAGCUCAGUUGGUAGAACGCUUCAUAUCCCCAAAGCCCUGGUUCUAGCUAAAACUGGGUGUGGUGGCACAGGCCUAUAAUCCCUGGAGGUGGUAGCUGGAGGAACCUACAUUCGAGGUCAUCCUCUGCUACACAGUAUGUUCUGAGCCAUCCUGGGCUACAUGAGACUUUUGUCUCAAAAAAAAGGAGGAAAAAAAAAACGUAUUCGUUAGUAAUUGGAAGAAGGCAGACAUCACCAAAAUCGUUUUCCGUGAUCAUGAUGUGGCAAAAGAACACUCCCAUAAUUGCAGGCAGCAGGGUCAAGCAUUGUAAGAGAUGUCCUGGCCUUGUAAUUUUGUGUUAUAGAAAUGUAUCUUAAAAUCAGGAUUUGGUUAAAAAAUGUUCAUCUCAGGGUUACAACAGAGAACAAUGGAAAGAAACUGCUUGUUUGGAAAUCCAUCCCUUUUCUCGUGUAAUAAAGUUUGCAGUAGGGCAUUGCUUAAGUGAAUUAUGCUCAUCCUGAUGGUGGAGGACUGCAUGGCUGUCCAGAGUCAUGGAGAAAAAUGCUCUUGAAUAUUAAAAAGAUUAUAAAAAAUGAGUUUUGUCACCUUAAUUUUGUUUGUUAAACAAUUUGUUUUUAAAAUAUGAGUGCAUGCUUGUAAUACAUAGGUCUACAAAAAGAAGACUGAAAGACUCCAAAUGUUGACAAGGGUGAUUUGUGGGUGGUGGGAUAGAGCAAUUGUGAAUUUUCCCCUUGAUUUUCUGUCAUUUUAAGUUUUCUACAUUGUUUAUUGUUUUUAUAUAUUAAAUAAAUUGCAAAAGGUAAA